AAGAGAUAUCUUUGUUCUGACCGGAACAAAGAGCAUUCUCAUGGGCAACAAAAAAGAGGCCACCCACACAUACAACAAACGUGCAAAAUCACAUAUGAUUAUCCCCGCUGCACCAUAGCUCCUCUGGCUGAACCCUCCCGCCACUCACACCGCAUCGAUGUGGAGAAUACGUUCACACCAAAAUUGUCAGAAUCAUAAUUUUGAAUCAUAUCGGAGCUCAAAUGGUAGGAUAGCAAAUCGUAAAAUCUUAAGUAAUCAAAAUCAUAGAAUCUGAGUGGUUAGUUUGGAUCGUAACAUUAUAGAAUCAUACCAUAAAAUUGUGAUUUAGACAAACUUGGUUUAGACAAAAUGAACUCAAAAAGUGCAUUGUGGAGGCCGAAUUUUGUCAUUCAAUCUACACCGACCGGCGCACACUGUGACGCCCCCGACUCGACCAUACACUAAUCAUACACGCAAAUGUGUACGAUCAAGAUCAGGGACUCACGGAAGAUAUCACAACACAACUCUAGACACAAAUUAAAAUAAUACAAGCUUUAUAUCACAAGCCAGGGGCCUCGAGGGCUCGAAUACAUAAGCUCGAAAACACAAGAGUCAGCGGAAGCAACAAUAUCUGAGUACAGACAUAAGUUAGACAAAUUUGCCUUAAGAAGGCUAGCACAAAAGAAACAACGAUCGAAAAGGCAAGGCCUCCUGCCUGGAAGCCUCCUAACUACUCCUGGUCGUCGGCGGCCUCCACAUAGUAGUAGGCACCCUCAGUGUAGUAGCAAUCGUCGUCGAAGGUGGCAUCUAGAUCCUGGGCUCUACCAUCUGGUUGCGACAACCAGAAAGAAGAAAGAAGGGGGAAAAGGGGUAGCAAAGCUACCGUGAGUACUCAUCCAAAGUACUCACAGCAAGGAUCUACACUACAUAUGCAACAUUAUCAAAGAGGGGCUGUAUAUGUGGGCUGGACUGCUGAAAUGCCAGAAUAGAGAGAAGGCCUAGUCCUAUCGAAGACUAGCAUCUUCUGGAAACCACCAUCUUGCAGCAACAGGAGGGAGUAGAGUAGCAUAAAGUAAAGUAGUAAAAGUGUUAUCAACCUCGGCCAGCGAUCCUUUCUCGACUCCCUGCGAGAAAGCAAUCCCAGAGCCAUACUACGCUAUCAAGCCAGAAGCCCUCGGAUCAAAUAUUCAAAUCGUAGUGGAUUAGGAGCACACGGUAACAAGCAGAGACUCACGAAAGAUGUGACCCCGUUGCCCGUCUCGAGGACUCACGGCAAGGGCUAGGAAUGCCUGGCCACGCCUCGUAAUUAUCUUGCGGGCACCCUCCAGGUCAACCCGUCGCCACAUCACUCGCAAUUAAGCUCGCGCUGGUACCCCUCAGGGCCGACCCGUCUUUAGUAACAUGGUUCAAUGUAAAGUCAUAGUAACCAUAGUAACUGUGUGUCCAAACAUCAAGGGGAAAACCCGAGGAAUCACCCCCGGUGAAUUCCACUCGAUGUAAUCAUCAAGGUGAACGUAAGAGGAACCACCCCCGAGGUUCACACUUGAGGGGUUGCACGAUAGAGUCGUAUAGAGAGUGGUUAAGGCGGAAUCACCCUCGAUGACCACGACCGAAUAGCUACACUACAGGGUUAACAUCAGAAGUGAUGUAGAGGUCUCACCCUCGGCACUCGAUAGUAACCCAGUAGUGUCGAGCAACUAAGGGGAACGUGAUGUGCGGUGCCGGGGCCUGGUCUUCAAUCCCGUUGAUCGGGCCUUCGAUGAUGAAGCAGGGGCAACAAGGACAAGGUGGGGGUCACUGAUGGAUCACUAACCAACCUAUACUAAGCAGUUUAGGAUAAGCAGGUAGGUAACAAUAAGCAAGUUACAAAAGCAGGCUAUGCAUCAGAAUAGGUGCAAUCAAUUGCAAUGGGAAAAUCUAAUGCAAGCAUGAGAGAAUGGAAUGGGCAAUACCGGUAUGAUCAAGGAGGGGGGGGCUUGCCUGGUUGCUCAGGCAAGGAGGGGUCGUCGUCGACGUAGUCGAUCACAGGGGCAGCAUCGGUCUCGGGGUCUACCGGAGAGAAGAAGGGGAAGAAACAGUAAAUAUAAAGCAAACAUAGCAUCACAAAGCAUAAUGUGGCAAUAUCUUGUGCUGGAUGUGACCUAACAUAUGGCUACACGAUAAAGGUGAAGGGGGAACUCAACCGGGAAUGCUUUCCCGGUUCCGGACCUGUGUCAGACAGAUGACCGGAGGGGGAAUGUUCCAUGUUCAGCUAGUUAGAGGCAUCUAACAGGUAAACGGACCACGUAUCCAGAUUCGCCACGUUUUUCUGAGCAACUUUCAUGCAUAAAGUUUUUCGAUCCGAGCUACGGUUUAUUUUCUAUGAUUUUCUAGUCUAAAAUAAAUUUUAAAAUUAUUUUAAUUAUUUAAUUUCGAAUUAAAUUCAACAAAUGAUAAGUGUACACGGGAAUUCCUACCCAGUGUGUAAGACAAGUGGGGGCAGUGUACAGAGUUGACCCGGUCAACUUUGACCGGUCAAAGUUAACAGUACGAGGGGUCCCACAUGUCAGUGUCUUAAUAAUUUCUAAAGGAUUUAUCUAAUCUAGUUAGGUAGGACCCAUUUGUCAUUUGCUAAUAGGCUUAAUUAGCAUUAUAUUAAUACUACUAAACUAAACCUACUGCUACUAGUAAACAAGGGCCGGCUGUUCGUGCGAGAGACAGCCAUCGCUGUGCUCACACACGCACACAAGCACGGCGGCCAGAGCCGGCCGACGCUAGAAGGCAGGGGGCUGGGAGCAACGACCGGCGGCUAGCACAGGGAGCGGCGGCCGACGGCGAGCGGCACGCGGACACCGGCGGCAGCGGCGCAGCAGGCGGGAGCAGCGGCAGUCAGAGCAGCAGUGGCAAGGCAGCAGCACAAGCAGCGCAGCGGCACAACGGCGGCAUCAGUAUGGGCAGCUGAGCGAGCGGCGUGACGGGCGCCGUGCGGCCGGCGCAGCACGCCCAGGCGGACGCGGCCAGGGGAUGUCUUGGGCGCGUGGGCACGGCAGGGAGGAGCCCAGGUCGCGGCCUAGGCGCGGUGGGCGCGGCCAGAGGCGAGCAGGCACGCGGAGCUCCGGGCGAACUCAAGGGCGGCUGUUACGGCACAAAUUCUAAGGGGGAAGAAAGGGAAUUGGACGAGGGCCUCACUGCGGUUCUCGAUGACGUGCUCCGGAGGUCGGGGGAGCGCCGAGGAAGGAGAUCCGGGACGAGGAAGCGGCGACCGGACGCGGGGAAGACGCCCGAUGGCGAGCGCUCGGGGCCUCCUAGCUUGAUCCGAUGCUCGUAGUCGAAGCAGGGGAAGGUGGCGCAGCUUCUGGACGCCUUGGCGCGACGAGGGGAGGCCGGUGGGUGCGGGAUCGACGCAGGGGGCGGUGGUCGUCGGGGAAGAAGGCCGUGGUCGACGUCUUGGCGGCUCCUCGAUCCAAAUCAACAGGCUUAAACGACGUGGUCAACAUCGGGGAUCCUCCUGGAUGUAUCCUUGCGGCGCAGGUGGCUUCGGAGCACGUUGGGGAAGGUGGCGCGGCGAUGCAGCGCUCAGCUAUGCGCGAGGAAGAAGAAAGCGGCGCGAGAAGGGGGAGGAAAGGGGAUGCUAGGGUUCGGGGUUGGCGCGGGGUGGCUCAUGUAGGCGGCCAGGGGGGCCGGAUGGCCGCCACGCCCGCGACCACAGCCGGCGGAUGGCCGCCACGGUCACCCAGCCUCCCCUCUGUACAGUAUAGGGGUAGGGGACAGGCCUGUGGUGGGCUUGGGCUGCACUGUGCACUCGGGCUACAAGUGCACAGUAGUGUAGGCCUUUCUCUUUUUAUUUACUGUUUUGUAGUUUCUCCAAUGUUCUGUAAUUUAAUUUAAUACCAUUCAAUUUUUGUUAGACUUGAAACUUGUUACUUAAAUACCAGGCGGCAAGUUGAAUUAGCACACAAAGUCUCAUAUGGUUGGGAAACGCAUAAUUAUUUGUUUCAAAAGGAAAAGGUUCAAUUAAAAGCUCUUGGUCCUCUUUUGAACAUUUUAAGGCCAUUUUAACAUUUCAAGAAUGUUGGCUAACACAUGAAAAUUACCUAGUGAAUAUUUUCAAUAUUAUGAACACUUUUUCUUAUUAAUUUGAAGAAGUUUCACAUUUACCCACUAUUUGAAUUUUGAAUUGGAGUGGACAUUGGAUCAAGUGAAGAUUAGCAACAGUAACAUGAUGACAUGGCACCAUUAACAGGGGAUUACUGUAGCAUGACACUGGGGGUGUUAUAAAUCUCCUCCACUACAAAAAAUCUCGUCCCGAGAUUUAAGUGGGGAAGUAAAGAGUAACUUCAGGAGAACUGACCCUUAUAGGGUUAAUUAUCUGGUGAACGAUUCAGGGAAUGAGGCAGAAGUAUCUCUCGAGUUGGAACUUAAUAAAACAUCGAGAGAAUUAAAGUAGGCAUGAGAAUUUUCAAGCCAUAGGCAAAUGUUCGAUGCCUGAAACAGAGGGUGAGAGGGGCUCAGAGCAACGAAAUAAAUACCGCGUCUGACACCGGAAUAGAAUAAGUGAGGGAAGGUGGCUCAUAAAAUACAUACGAAGCCAAGUGUAAAGUAUACUUCAGAAUCAAGGUUUUACAAGAGAGUCAAGUUUCGAUCAUGUGGAACUUUGGGUUAUGGGCCCACCAUGUGGGUUAAAAGCAGGAAGGCGCUAUCAUUUUGCACGGUCAUGAUGGCAAGGCAGGUCAGAGGAUAGCUUGUCAAUUAUGUUGGCAACAACGUUGGUACCAAGGGCGAGGGACGAAGAGAACCAUUUUCCUGCUCGUAAGACGAGGGGGACCAAUAGGCAAAGUUCUCGUCCAUCGGUGGUUACCGGAAUGUCAUCAACAAUAGUAACAAGGUCUUACUGAUAGAGUUUGUACAUCGAGGUGUUUACGUAAGCAGGGAAUUAUCACUGCUCAGAUAUGUUAUGUUACAAGAAAGGUUAAACAAACCAAUGGAAAGGAAAAAUAUGAUUAUCGAAUCAAACAACCCAAAGGAAAGGGAGAUGUGUUCACACAUAAGAGUUGGGAGUAUAUCCUUCCCAAGGAAAAGCGGAGUAGGGUAUACAUGAUAUGACAGCAAGUUCAAAAGCAUUUAGAUAAAGGGGGCGAGGGAAGAAUCAUGAUAUUACCCACACAAUGGUGUUUGGAUAAUAGAUCAAGAAACAUUCGGCAAUGUGCUUCCAAUGUUCUUGUUGAUAUUCGGAAUACCAUAGUCAUGCUUCAAUGCGGCAAUGAUAUGAUCUCAACUAAAGAUUGGGUUCGAAGAUCUCAAGAGAUACCGAGAAACAAUUCCAAGAUAUCUCAGAACAUAAGAAAUAACCAAGCACAACCAGGUCUGUGUUGGCAGAAAGUCAAGAUGUCAUCAAUGAUAUCACAAAUCAUCGAGGGGCAGGGAUGGUAUUUCUAGCCAUGGAUUCAAUUGACAUCUCUGAAGAAGCCAAAGUGUAGACGGUGAUCACGACAGAUUUUGUCGAGAGACUCUAUGAAGAUGCCAUCGAGCAGAAAAUGAAGGAUGAAGUGAAAGGCUAUGAGAACCACGGAUUCGACACAAGCUCGAAGUCAAGCUUGUUGUUCGAGGUGAAAUGAUAAGAUGAGGAAGAUGGACGUAAGCUUAGCUCAUCGUCGAAAGUUGCUCCGGGCAUAAGGAUCAGGUAGCACAGUUAAAAGUUGACACGAUAAAAAUAUAGCCGAUCAGGCUAGGAAUGAUGUGAUGGGGUAUAAAACUUCCCAGUAUCAAGUACUAGGUGUAAUGACGGAAGGUAAAUCGGGGUAUAGGUUGGACGGGGGAAAUGAUUUGUAGAGGAUAAGUAUUUUAACUUACCCAGUAAAUGGAAUCAAGGAGGAAAUAUGGUCGGAACCACGAUUGCAAAGGAUCAAUUCAAACAUACAAGAUGAGCUUGUACCAAAGAAAUAAUUAUUUUUACGAGCAGCUUCCAUGAUAAGUUCUACAUCGGGUCCAUGGGCAUGAACACCAAGGUUCAGGGUCGACUCCCACUUCUUCAAUGCAUAACCUUUCAUUCACUCCUCGUUUUCGAAGAAAUUGUAGUGCAGAAGAUUAUCUGGCGAAGUACCAGAAGAGUAAGACUCGUGAGAACUCUCGGGUUCACACGGAUUAUGGAAGGCAUAAGUUCAACCCAUCGAGGCAUUUUUACGAAUAUAUACAACCAUCAACCAAGCAAAAGAUACGAGUUCGAAAGCAGAGUAUCGAAGUUAAAGCAGAUGAUACAAUUUACCGAAGGUAUUAUGUAUCAGGGAAAAACUCACAAGAUUUUGGAUGUGAAGGACACUGUCGGAUAACAACCCAGCAAUGGAUCUGGCGAUUCACGACAGAGUUGAUGUGAGUAUCGCUAAUCAAUCAGAUGAAGAGGGGGAUGCAAAGGCAUCAGCUUAUAGAAAAGUCUGAAUGAUUCGAUGCUUGGGUACAAAGGAAUUAUGAUUUCAAGACGAAGGAUCAGAAGCAGAGGCUCUGAUCAAAAGAUGAGUAAGUUGAAUAGACUUAAAGGUGCACCCGAUCAAAUCUGGAUUGGGCAAGAACCAACUCAUAUCUGGAAGGAUGUUUGAGCCGGAAAGAAAAUUUCCAAGGAUUAAUUGAUGAUUGCGAGUAUUCGCACACAUGCUGAAUCCAAAGGAACAUAAUGACAAUCACAAAGAAUUUUAAAGAAUAUUGCUAGACAUAUGGAAUUAAUCCUAAUGCAAGCAGGCAAGGAGAAUCAAGAGCAAUAGGCUGCAGAGGAUUUUGAAAGAUCAGAUAGCAUUUUCGGGUAUUUUGGAAACCAUGUGAACAACUGGGGACGAACGAACCCCGGUUAAGUGAAUUAUCCGCAGUGCGAAAAGAAGCUGCAAAGCAGAAGGCACAAGGAUUCUCAAAACAACGGAGAGUACUAGGGGUAUCUUGUAAUAAUAGGAGCAACUGGGGAUGAAGGUACACGCGGCAAGGAUGUUAUUCACGGGGAUUAUCGGUGGUCAGGAACUACAAGGCAGUUGGCACAGUGUCUCGAGAAGCAUCUAGGAGUAUCUGCAGAAUCUUCUGGCGAAGCAAGCGAUCAUUGAUAAUGUCAGGGCUCUCCGGGAGGAAGUGGGCACGAGAGCCUAAUGUCAGAGGUAGUAAAACGUUUAACCCGAAUAGACGAGAGAUCAGAGUCUCAGAGUAUAGGCGAGGAAUAAAAGAUCCUAAUACCACCCAAUGGCGACGUGGGCCCGUAAGACACACAUCCAUGUUAGUAAAAGUUUUUUUCAGUCACUAGACUCAACUUUGGCCAAGGAAUUGGAAAGGGGGCUACCUACAGGCAGUCAGCUCUGAUACCAACUUGUGACGCGCCUGACUCGACCGUACACUAAUCAUACACGCAAAUGUGUACGAUCAAGAUCAGGGACUCACGGAAGAUAUCACAACACAACUCUAGACACAAAUUAAAAUUAUACAAGCUUUAUAUUACAAGCCAAGAGCCUCAAGGGCUCGAAUACAUAAGCUCAAAAACACAAGAGUCAGCGGAAGCAACAAUAUCUGAGUACAUACAUAAGUUAGACAAGUUUGCCUUAAGAAGGCUAGCACAAAAGAAACAACGAUCGAAAAGGCAAGGCCUCCUGCCUGGGAGCCUCCUAACUACUCCUGGUCGUCGGUGGCCUCCACGUAGUAGUAGGCACCCUCAGUGUAGUAGCAGUCGUCGUCGAAGGUGGCGUCUAGAUCCUGGGCUCUACCAUCUGGUUGCGACAACCAGAAAGAAGAAAGAAGGGGGAAAAGGGGUAGCAAAGCAACCGUGAGUACUCAUCCAAAGUACUCGCAAGCAAGGAUCUACACUACAUAUGCAACAUUAUCAAAGAGUGGCUGUAUAUGUGGACUGGACUGCUGAAAUGCCAGAAUAGAGAGAAGGCCUAGUCCUAUCGAAGACUAGCAUCUUCUGGAAACCACCAUCUUGCAGCAACAGGAGGGAGUAGAGUAGGAUAAAGUAAAGUAGUAGAAGUGUUAUCAACCUCGGCCAGAGAUCCUUUCUCGACUCCCUACGAGAAAGCAAUCCCAGAGCCAUACUAUCCAUUUCUCAUAUCCAUGUAUCAUCUCAAGUAUCCAGUUCUAGUUGUAUCGAUCGGGAUACAACUCCGAGUGUCCGUUACCGUAGGACAGGCUAUCGAUAGAUGUUUUCUUUCCUGCAGGGGUGCACCAACUUACCCACCAUACUCGAUUAACUCCCGCCGGACACACUUUCCUGGGUCAUGCCCGGCCUCAGCCAAACAAUACGCCGCAACCCGACCUAGGCUUAAUAGAGAGGUCAGCACGCCGGACUAAACCUAUGCCCCCAGGGGUCAUGGGCCAUCUCCCCGGGAACUCCUGCACGUUGCGUACGCGGCCGGUGAGCAGACCUAGCUACCUCCUUUAAAAAGGCAGGUGCUUACCAGUCCAACCCGGCACGCGCCGCUCAGUCGCUGACGUCUAUUAAGCUUCGGCUGAUGCAUACGACGCAGAACGCCCAUACUAUGCCCACGUGAUGGUUAGUGCUAUCAGGACAGAGGCCCCUCGGAUCAAAUAUCCAAAUCGUAGUGGAUUAGGAGCACGCGGUAACAAGCAGAGACUCACGAAAGAUGUGACCCCGUUGCCCCAUCUCGAGGACUUGCGGCAAGGGCUAGGAAUGCCCGGCCACGCCUCGUAAUUAUCUCGCGGGCACCCUCGAGGUCAACCCGUCGCCACAUCACUCGCAAUUAAGCUCGCGCGGGUACCCCUCAGGGCUGACCCGUCUUUAGUAACAUGGUUCAGUGUAAAGUCAUAGUAACCAUAGUAACUGUGUGUCCAAACAUCAAGGGGAAAACCCGAGGAAUCACCCCCGGUGAAUUCCACUCGAUGUAAUCAUCAAGGUGA
Molecule: long non-coding RNA, 8835 nt
Filed under: Triticum aestivum (bread wheat)
Lineage: Eukaryota; Viridiplantae; Streptophyta; Magnoliopsida; Poales; Poaceae
Description: long non-coding RNA (TAES_LNC004156)
Source: RNAcentral